RNAcentral lists this long non-coding RNA (1249 nucleotides) under Homo sapiens (human). Its description in RNAcentral is "long intergenic non-protein coding RNA 1029". The record is from RNAcentral. Lineage: Eukaryota; Metazoa; Chordata; Mammalia; Primates; Hominidae.
AUUUUGAGUUCUGCCCUGCUCCGAAGCAGAAGGAGAGUGCAUGAGAUUAUAUAAAGACUCAGAGAAGAGAUACAGCUCCUCCCGCACCAGAGAAAUGCAGCUCCGUGAGCCCCGAUGGAGCCAGCAUGCUGCUGGGUGCUGAGGAGCAGGCAGAGGCACCCAGGAUGGCGGUCCCCAAGGAGAACGGAGGCACAGAACAACGCAUGAGGGGCCACAUGACUUAGGGCCGGGAUCGGUCACUCAGCCAGCAAAAACACUGGAAGAAAACAAAACAACUUCAGACUCUAUGCUGCAUUUCCGUAAUAUAUCUGCCCAAAGACUGGACAACAAAGGUAAAGGAGGCUGAUGAGGAAACGAAAGGAUCCGUGGUUCUUGGCUCGCUGGGUGGCUCAUCAACAAAGCCCCAGCAUCACUCCUGCAGAUGCCCUAGCCUGGCCUGGGCUGGGAUGGGCAAAAUUCACCAUGGGACUCUUGUUCAAGAGAGGGAGAUCAAAGCCAGAAACACUUACCCAGAAUGGCCAUGCAGACUAAAAUUCCAAUUCUAAAAAUACUUUUAAAAUGUAACGUACAACAAAGGAAAGCUGGAAAAAUAUUUAAAAAAGGAUGAAAGGGCAAGAAAAAUUCAACCCACGACCUCAAGGCGAUUAUAAUCUGUGUUCUGCUGCUUCCCAGAGCCGCUUCAGUCUUCAGCUCAGAGUCUACCAGACACUAAAAUGCAACUGAACACUCAGUUCAUACUUGUUCUUCUAAUUAGCUGCCUCUUCCAUUUGAUUAAUAUUGCCUCCUAAUUUAAUUGUAAAUUGUAUUUCUGGUUUAUAUUUCGCUUCUCCCUCCUGUUGUACCUGGUGACCAUCUUCAUUAAUCAUAUUGUAGCUUUUUAAUGAAUCUCAUAUGCCAAUUUAUGGUGAACAAGACUUGAUAUGAAGGCAUCUUCAUCAAAUCAUUCAUAAUCUUGUAACUAUUGGUUUAUUUUCUGUAACGACCUAUAAAUGUACACCAAAAAAAUGAAAGAUUCCCCCUAAAAUGUAAUGGGACAGAACUUUGUUUACGUAGAUUUCUGAGGAUGGGUUGAGACGCCAAAUUCCGCUUGUGUUUGGAAUUUCUAUUUCACUGGGCUUAGUGAGGGUGCCCAUGUUUUGCAAUCCUGUGCUCUAGAAUCUAUCAUAAACAGAUUCUUCUAAUUGUUUGACAUUAAACUGCAAAUUUGUGUUUUUGUGUCUGCUCAAAUAUAAAAUGUCUUUGGGAAAAA